Molecule: transfer RNA, 73 nt
Filed under: Anguilla anguilla (European eel)
Lineage: Eukaryota; Metazoa; Chordata; Actinopteri; Anguilliformes; Anguillidae
Description: tRNA-OTHER
Source: RNAcentral
GGCAUGGUGGUGGAGUGGGUAGCACUGUUGCCUCAGAGCAAGAAGGCCCUGGGUUCAAAUCUUGGCUUUGGCC